Molecule: RNA transcript, 6492 nt
Organism: Cottoperca gobio
Lineage: Eukaryota; Metazoa; Chordata; Actinopteri; Perciformes; Bovichtidae
Gene: shoc2
Gene name: SHOC2 leucine rich repeat scaffold protein
Exons: 10
Source: RefSeq, a predicted model, not a curated record
CGCAGUUUGGUGGCAGGGGAGGGAGGGGAGCCGAGCAGCAGUGUAGGAAAAGAGGAGGAAGCAGCAAGGAUGGCGGAGUCACACCUCUGAAGCAAAUCUUCGAAGGAUUAAAAAAAACCUUGAUGACCUUUGCAGCCCGAAAUAACUUAUAUCCGAAGGUCCUGGGAUAGUAUGCAGUUCAAACACUAAAGCAUGUGGCCCAUGGGUGCCACAGUCCUGCUACUUCAAAGGAUUUUUUCUCCCAUGCCAUUUUAACAAAGGAACAAAGUAUCCAAAAAAACCUUUGGAUCACAAGGCAUUUAUUUCAAGGAUAAUCAUAAAUGUGUGGACCUGUACGGGGAUGUUUUCUUUAAAAGCCUACUUGGCUGUAUGUGUCCCUUUUUCCCCGAAUAAGUAACCUAACAAGAGACUCCCAUGAGCAACUCUGCAGGAGGCCCGAUAACGUCGACAUGAGUAGUACUUUAGGCAAAGAAAAAGAUUCGAAAGAAAAGGACCCCAAAGGUGGUCCAGCGGGGAAAGAAAGGGAAAAGGAGGCCAAGGCUCUAGCUGGCUUAGUCAAAGAUGGUGGCAAAGAAACGAAGACCAAAGGGAAUGCCAAAGAAGGAAAGAAGGACACCAGCAGCUCAACACCAGGUGUUGCCUUCUCUGUUGACAACACGAUAAAGCGGCCAAACCCGGCACCAGGUACGCGCAAGAAGUCCAGCAAUGCCGAGGUGAUCAAAGAGCUCAACAAGUGCCGGGAGGAGAACUCGAUGAGACUGGACCUAUCUAAACGGUCCAUUCACAUGCUGCCCACCUCCAUCAAGGAAUUGACGCAGCUGGCUGAACUCUACUUAUACAGCAACAAGCUGCAGAGCCUGCCGGCUGAGGUGGGUUGCCUAUCAGGCCUGGUCACUUUGGCUCUGAGUGAGAACUCCCUGACCAGUUUGCCUGACUCCCUGGACUCCCUUAAGAAGCUUCGAAUGCUCGACCUCCGGCACAACAAGCUGAGAGAGAUCCCAGCUGUUGUCUACCGGCUGACAUCUCUGACCACGCUGUACCUGCGCUUCAACCGCAUCACAACCGUGGAGAAGGACAUUCGAAACCUAUCCAAGCUCACUAUGCUCAGCAUUCGUGAGAACAAGAUUAAACAGCUGCCUGCAGAGAUAGGGGAGCUAUGCAACCUCAUAACUCUGGAUGUUGCCCAUAACCAGUUGGAGCACCUACCGAAGGAGAUCGGGAAUUGCACACAGAUAACCAACCUCGACUUGCAGCACAAUGAGCUCUUGGACCUCCCAGAGACUAUAGGCAACCUGGCAAGCAUAAAUCGCUUAGGUCUGCGAUACAAUAGAUUGUCAGCCAUCCCCAGAUCAUUAGCCCAAUGUCGAGAACUGGAGGAGCUAAACCUUGAAAACAACAACAUUUCGGUGUUGCCGGAGGGCCUACUGUCAAGUUUGGUCAACCUGACCAGUCUAACACUGGCGAGGAACUGCUUCCAGUCAUACCCUGUGGGUGGACCAUCCCAGUUCUCCACCAUCUACUCCCUCAACAUGGAGCACAACCGCAUCAACAAGAUCCCCUUUGGCAUCUUCUCCAGGGCCAAAGUGUUAAGCAAGCUUAACAUGAAGGACAACCAGUUAACAUCUCUGCCAUUGGACUUUGGCACAUGGACGAGCAUGGUCGAGCUUAACCUGGCCACCAAUCAGCUGACAAAGAUCCCAGAGGACGUCUGUGGUUUAGUCUCUCUGGAGGUGUUAAUAUUGUCCAAUAAUCUUCUCAAGAAGUUACCACACGGUAUUGGGAAUUUGAGAAAGCUACGGGAGCUCGACUUGGAGGAAAACAAGUUGGAAUGUUUACCUAAUGAAAUUGCUUAUCUUAAAGAUUUACAGAAAUUGGUGUUGACAAAUAAUCAGCUGUCCACGUUGCCCAGAGGCAUCGGUCACCUCACCAACCUGACUCAUCUUGGUUUGGGGGAGAACCUGCUGCAACAUCUCCCAGAGGAGAUCGGUACACUGGAGAACUUGGAGGAACUGUACCUCAACGACAACCCCAACCUGCGCAGCCUCCCGUUCGAGCUGGCCCUCUGCAGCAAGCUGUCCAUCAUGAGCAUCGAGAACUGUCCCCUCAGCCACCUGCCUCCCCAGAUUGUCGCGGGAGGCCCCUCCUUCAUCAUCCAGUUCCUCAAGAUGCAGGGACCGUACCGUGCCAUGGUCUGAGCCAAGAGCAGCUCAAUCGCAGUCCUACUUAACUCCAAACCCUCCACUUGCUCUGCACCCUCUCGCCUGCCCGCCCCCAUUACGUGUAUCAUACACUGUAAAGAAAACAGACUCGCCACAAUCAGUGUCGGGGGCAAAUACGAGGAGGAGGAAGAGGAAGAGGAAGAGGAGGAAGAGGAGGAAGAAGAAGAAGAGGAGGAGGAGGAGGAGGAGGAGGAAGAGGAAGAGGAAGAAGAAGAAAAUGUUUCUUUCACCAUCCUUGGGCAGAAACGAGGCGAAUCGUCGGAGACUUGACUUCUGUGUUACUCCAGAGUUUAUCACGGUCAUUUUAGGACCCCAGCCACCCCCGCUCAUGUUUCAUUCCGAAUCAUACAAGAGGAAAAUAUUUCCAUCUCUUUGCCAAAACUGAAGAUAUAUAAAGUUAUAUAUAUUGAGUAACUGUGAGCUAAGUGGCAAGUCUUUUAACCAUAUAAACCGUGCUCCCAUUGCCAAUGUAUUUACAGUAAUUACAAGCAUCUAUUAUGUGAGCAAGGAUACAAUUGUAUGCAAAAACAAACAAAAAAAGUCUUUGGAACUUCACAUUUACUGCUGCUGCCGUAAUUUUAACUUUGUCAUCUUGUUAUAUUUUCUUUUGAUAUUCACUUUUUUCCUUUUACAUCACCUUCGCUCAAGAUAACUUAUGUUAACUGCUUCUUGACCAGAGAGAACAAAGGUCUAAUGAUGGCGUGUUUAUCAUUUAUUUUUUGUAUUUUUUCUUUUUUUUUCCUUUUAAUUUUUUCUUUUACCUCUUCUGUUUAUUUUCAAAAACUGUGCCUAUGUUUAGAAUGAUCCAGUGGUUCAUUUCUAAACACAAUUGUCCAUGAGAAUACAAAGAUAUAAAUUAUUUCAAUAAUUCAUUUUUUAUUACUGCUGUUUUUACUUUAAUUUUUUCCUUUUCUUUAGUUUUACUUUUGCUGUUGAAAUUAAUCUGUUAAAGCAAGCGAUAUCAGUUGUAAAAUAGGGCGAUUGGAGAUCUUUUUAACAAAUAGCAGCAGUAGUUGUUAAACAUUAAGCUAGUUAUGUAUACAUAUGAGAAAUGCCAAUCAUAAAUGCUUGAAGAAAAAAAGCAAGAUGGACUUGUCUCAAACGGGUGGUCCUGUGACCCCUGUCAAUAUUGCUUUUGUGUGACAAAAGAUAUUGGAAAAAAGUCAAACCUGGGUGUGAUGGGAUAAAUGAUGAGGAGAUGUUUUUAUAUAUGUAUACAAAUCCUGGUUGUUGCCUUGAGUGCAAUUUUUAGUUAUGUUUACUGGUUUGAUAUUAUCUUCAGUGUUGGGCUGCAUAGUUGUCAUUCAAUUGAUCAUUGACCAACAUAUCAAGCAUUUUAAAAAGACGUUAUCUGGGUCUCCUGAGCGAGUGGUGAGUGUAUCAGAGCUUCAAAAAGGUUUGAUAAUAAAACAUUGACAGGUAACCACUUCCCUUUUUGUUUUGUUUAAUAUUGUUAAUUUUUCAGGUUUUUUUUUGACGGGGUGUCAUAAGAAUCUUAAUUACAUGAUGGAAAAUGUUACCUUGAUUUAGAUUUGCAAUUUUAUUUAAUUUUUUUUAAUAUCUUCUUUUGUCCCACACUGUCCCAGCAAUGCUGCUGCUCUUAUGCACUUUUUUAAAAAGACGUUGGCAUCCUCUAUAUUAAACACACAGUAGCCUCUCAUUGGUUAUUUUGAAUGGGGGCAUUUUGUUUCAUAAAGUAUUUUAUCUGUUUACCAAACGGUUUAUCAUGUAAAUUUGUAUCGAUUUUAAAUAUAAAUGUUGAGUUUAGCGGGCUCAGAAUAUACUAGUAACUUUCUUUGGGGAAGUUUUAUCCUGUCAAUCUUAAAAUGAUCUUGCUCUCUUGUCAAAGGUCUGUGUGGCUAUGACAUGUUUUAAGAUUCCCAUAUCCUGCUUUCUCCAUGGCAAGUGAAAUGGCUUAUUGCAGUUCAGAUCGUUUAUUUGAAAUCAAUUUGCAUUGAAUGUUUUUUUUAAAUGAUGAAAUGUGUAUUCAUUUAGUAUUAUUUCAAGUGACUGUACAUUAAAAAUCCCAACAAAAGGUAAUCAAACCAAAAAUAUUUUUUCCAUUUUGAAACCGUUGCUUCCCAGCUCUAUAUUCAAUCAUGAUUCUGUUUUGUAUUGAAACGUGUGGGUCUACUUUUCUUGCAGCAGCUUGGUGUGUUUUAGUGGGCUGUGGUUCGGUCUCCUCCAGGGGAGUGAUGAGAGCGCCACAGCUCACCUCGGGGUGGGGAACGAUGUACCGCUGCUUCUGAUUUACCAGCAGAACCUGUUGCUGCUUUUCGUGGACUGAAACAUAUGCUGUACAAGACGGGGAGGGCGGGGGGGCGGGAAGCGGUCCACUCCCAACACUGAUACAGACUUCACUCGUAAACCUGACCAGGGACAAAUCCACUGACCUUUUCGAUUUGCCGUCAGGCCCGGUGGUUUUUCUCACAGAUCAAAUCGUUUGGACACAACGAUGAGACGACACAACAAGGUUGAGGAUGCCAGUGUAUGAAGACGCAGAGGAUGUUGGGAGGUGGGGGCACAAACUGAACUUGGCUAAUCGACCGGAGAGCAUUUAUCUGAUCCUGGAAUGUAGUUUUGAUGUGCUGGGGAGGAAACCGAGCUCACCGACUGGCACGCUCAGUUGAAGGUGUGACUUGUUGGAUCAAAAAGAUGACAACGUAUGGUGCAUCCAAAAUAAUUGGAGUAUAAUUGGUGUUUAUUUUUCUAUCGUCUGUGAUUUAAGGCCGUGGAGAGCGUCGCAGAAUCAAAGUCAUUUUGCUCCUUUUGCUUUUUAUUCUGGAUCAUACAUGUCUUUCUUGCCUGGUUAUUUUGUACAGGAAACAAGCAUGUUGAACACACAUUUGACAUGAUUUGUCUGGGUCAGAAUUGGGCGUUUCUUUGCAUAGAGGACUUGGAUUUAGUGGCUAUUUGGUGUAUCUGCAAAUGCUCCCUUUUUGUAUAGUGCAAAGGGUAUCGAAGCAUUGUGUGGCAAUGCUUAUCCUACUUAAUCUACAUUGACAAGCAGCCUUAAUGGUCUUUUUUUAUGUGUUUGUUUGGCUAUUCCUUGUGUCUAUGGCCACUGACUGUACUUGAUGACAAGCAACUGGUCGUUACAAUGUAAAUUUGGGUCUAGUUUCUUUCUGUCUAAUUUUUCCUUUUUACGCUGUACAGUAAUCUGACGUUACAGUAGACUCAGUAUUACAAAAUCUGUAAUGUGAUGAGAGUUUUACAAAAAGACAGUGCAAUCGAAGAUAAUGCCAUUAUGCUACCGAGUGGAUGUGCAUUAGCUUACGUCUCACUUGUCUUUGGCAUUAAAGGGGAAUUCCACCAAAACUGAGUUGCAUUGUUAUUCAGCAAAAGAUCUUUUUCAACAGAAAUUACAAAGAUGUGUUUUUUUUUUUAAUGUUUUUCUCACAAGUCAUAUCAGGUUUGAGUAAUAAGAUAAGACAUCAUAGUCUGAGAUUGUUAAUAAAACUUUAAUAGAUAUACUUUUUCUUUUUUUAACCACAUCUUGAUUUAAAAAACAUUUGAAAUGGUUCAGGUCGAUGUGGUGCGAACACGUUCUUCAUCUUGAGAGCACAUAACUACAUAAAUCAACGCUUUUGUAAUUAAACAGUCACUUUUGGUGGAAAGUCCCUUUUAAUGUAAAGCCGCCAGCUCUUUCUCUUAACCCCCCCCCCCCCACCCCCGCUAUAGUAUCUCCACACAUUUACUUGUCUGCCUUAUGCGCACCAAGCAAAACCUUUAUGACCGUUUUGAUUUAAUCAACAAAGACAGAUAAUCACUCUUAUGCUUUUCUUUCUUUAAUGUCAGUAAAGGGAUCUGGGUCCACGGAUUGAACAGAUGUUGAAAGUUUUUGGGUCAGUCUUGACUGGACGAGCAGAUGCAGACAUGACUACCUCUAUGCGAGUCUUCAUUGCUAACCACAGUGACCAAGAUCCAGUCUGAGGUGUUUCUACCUGUGUACAUACAAGGCCGCGUGUUGCCAGCAGGAACUUUGGAUUUGGACGAGCAAUUCAACCACAAUUUGUUUUACUAAGCAUCCUUCUGUUUAUUUUUGGUUUUAUGCCUUUACUAAGUAUUAUUUGGCAAAUGAAGAGGACAAAUUUGUGUGCUUGGUUGUAAAUGACAAAUUUAAUCAAUGCCGCCCCAUUGUAAGACAGUUAUCCUGAAACCAACUAGUUGCAAAGUGCUACUUUGCAAAUGAGUGAAAAUGACCAUGUUUGGUGAUGUUCUGUAUGUACAUACAUCUUUUUAACUGUAAUAAACCGAUAAAUAUUUACAAGUU